AAAUUGAAGAGUUUGAUCAUGGCUCAGAUUGAACGCUGGCGGCAGGCCUAACACAUGCAAGUCGAGCGGUAGCACAGAGAGCUUGCUCUCGGGUGACGAGCGGCGGACGGGUGAGUAAUGUCUGGGAAACUGCCUGAUGGAGGGGGAUAACUACUGGAAACGGUAGCUAAUACCGCAUAACGUCGCAAGACCAAAGUGGGGGACCUUCGGGCCUCAUGCCAUCAGAUGUGCCCAGAUGGGAUUAGCUAGUAGGUGGGGUAACGGCUCACCUAGGCGACGAUCCCUAGCUGGUCUGAGAGGAUGACCAGCCACACUGGAACUGAGACACGGUCCAGACUCCUACGGGAGGCAGCAGUGGGGAAUAUUGCACAAUGGGCGCAAGCCUGAUGCAGCCAUGCCGCGUGUNUGAAGAAGGCCUUNGGGUUGUAAAGNACUUUCAGCGGGGAGGAAGGNGUAAGGUUAAUNNNNNNNNNAUUGACGUUACCCGCAGAAGAAGCACCGGCUAACUCCGUGCCAGCAGCCGCGGUAAUACGGAGGGUGCAAGCGUUAAUCGGAAUUACUGGGCGUAAAGCGCACGCAGGCGGUCNNUNAAGUCNGAUGUGAAANCCCCGNGCUNAACNUGGGAANUGCAUNNGAAACUGGCAGGCUAGAGUCUUGUAGAGGGGGGUAGAAUUCCANGUGUAGCGGUGAAAUGCGUAGAGAUCUGGAGGAAUACCGGUGGCGAAGGCGGCCCCCUGGACAAAGACUGACGCUCAGGUGCGAAAGCGUGGGGAGCAAACAGGAUUAGAUACCCUGGUAGUCCACGCCGUAAACGAUGUCGAUUUGGAGGUUGUGCCCUUGAGGCGUGGCUUCCGGAGCUAACGCGUUAAAUCGACCGCCUGGGGAGUACGGCCGCAAGGUUAAAACUCAAAUGAAUUGACGGGGGCCCGCACAAGCGGUGGAGCAUGUGGUUUAAUUCGAUGCAACGCGAAGAACCUUACCUNGUCUUGACAUCCACAGAACUUUCCAGAGAUGGAUUGGUGCCUUCGGGAACUGUGAGACAGGUGCUGCAUGGCUGUCGUCAGCUCGUGUUGUGAAAUGUUGGGUUAAGUCCCGCAACGAGCGCAACCCUUAUCCUUUGUUGCCAGCGGUCCGGCCGGGAACUCAAAGGAGACUGCCAGUGAUAAACUGGAGGAAGGUGGGGAUGACGUCAAGUCAUCAUGGCCCUUACGACCAGGGCUACACACGUGCUACAAUGGCAUAUACAAAGAGAAGCGACCUCGCGAGAGCAAGCGGACCUCAUAAAGUAUGUCGUAGUCCGGAUUGGAGUCUGCAACUCGACUCCAUGAAGUCGGAAUCGCUAGUAAUCGUAGAUCAGAAUGCUACGGUGAAUACGUUCCCGGGCCUUGUACACACCGCCCGUCACACCAUGGGAGUGGGUUGCAAAAGAAGUAGGUAGCUUAACCUUCGGGAGGGCGCUUACCACUUUGUGAUUCAUGACUGGGGUGAAGUCGUAACAAGGUAACCGUAGGGGAACCUGCGGUUGGAUCACCUCCUUA
Molecule: ribosomal RNA, 1538 nt
Filed under: Klebsiella pneumoniae
Lineage: Bacteria; Pseudomonadati; Pseudomonadota; Gammaproteobacteria; Enterobacterales; Enterobacteriaceae
Description: bacterial SSU rRNA
Rfam family: Bacterial small subunit ribosomal RNA
Source: RNAcentral